GACGAACGCUGGCGGCGUGCCUAAUACAUGCAAGUCGAGCGAGCGGAACUAACAGAUUUACUUCGGUAAUGACGUUAGGAAAGCGAGCGGCGGAUGGGUGAGUAACACGUGGGGAACCUGCCCCAUAGUCUGGGAUACCACUUGGAAACAGGUGCUAAUACCGGAUAAGAAAGCAGAUCGCAUGAUCAGCUUUUAAAAGGCGGCGUAAGCUGUCGCUAUGGGAUGGCCCCGCGGUGCAUUAGCUAGUUGGUAAGGUAAAGGCUUACCAAGGCGAUGAUGCAUAGCCGAGUUGAGAGACUGAUCGGCCACAUUGGGACUGAGACACGGCCCAAACUCCUACGGGAGGCAGCAGUAGGGAAUCUUCCACAAUGGACGCAAGUCUGAUGGAGCAACGCCGCGUGAGUGAAGAAGGUUUUCGGAUCGUAAAGCUCUGUUGUUGGUGAAGAAGGAUAGAGGUAGUAACUGGCCUUUAUUUGACGGUAAUCAACCAGAAAGUCACGGCUAACUACGUGCCAGCAGCCGCGGUAAUACGUAGGUGGCAAGCGUUGUCCGGAUUUAUUGGGCGUAAAGCGAGCGCAGGCGGAAGAAUAAGUCUGAUGUGAAAGCCCUCGGCUUAACCGAGGAACUGCAUCGGAAACUGUUUUUCUUGAGUGCAGAAGAGGAGAGUGGAACUCCAUGUGUAGCGGUGGAAUGCGUAGAUAUAUGGAAGAACACCAGUGGCGAAGGCGGCUCUCUGGUCUGCAACUGACGCUGAGGCUCGAAAGCAUGGGUAGCGAACAGGAUUAGAUACCCUGGUAGUCCAUGCCGUAAACGAUGAGUGCUAAGUGUUGGGAGGUUUCCGCCUCUCAGUGCUGCAGCUAACGCAUUAAGCACUCCGCCUGGGGAGUACGACCGCAAGGUUGAAACUCAAAGGAAUUGACGGGGGCCCGCACAAGCGGUGGAGCAUGUGGUUYAAUUCGAAGCAACGCGAAGAACCUUACCAGGUCUUGACAUCUAGUGCCAUUUGUAGAGAUACAAAGUUCCCUUCGGGGACGCUGAGACAGGGUGGUGCAUGGCUGUCGUCAGCUCGUGUCGUGAGAUGUUGGGUUAAGUCCCGCAACGAGCGCAACCCUUGUCAUUAGUUGCCAUCAUUAAGUUGGGCACUCUAAUGAGACUGCCGGUGACAAACCGGAGGAAGGUGGGGAUGACGUCAAGUCAUCAUGCCCCUUAUGACCUGNGCUACACACGUGCUACAAUGGACGGUACAACGAGAAGCGAACCUGCGAAGGCAAGCGGAUCUCUUAAAGCCGUUCUCAGUUCGGACUGUAGGCUGCAACUCGCCUACACGAAGCUGGAAUCGCUAGUAAUCGCGGAUCAGCACGCCGCGGUGAAUACGUUCCCGGGCCUUGUACACACCGCCCGUCACACCAUGGAAGUCUGCAAUGCCCAAAGCCGGUGGCCUAACCUUCGGGAAGGAGCCGUCUAAGGCAGGGCAGAUGACUGGGGUG
RNAcentral lists this ribosomal RNA (1487 nucleotides) under uncultured bacterium. RNAcentral describes it as "bacterial SSU rRNA". It matches the Rfam family "Bacterial small subunit ribosomal RNA". The record is from RNAcentral.